AAUAUUGGACAAUGGGGGGAACCCUGAUCCAGCCAUGCCGCGUGUGUGAAGAAGGUCUUCGGUUUAUAAAGCACUUUUAGUUGGGAGGAAGAUUUGUAGGCUAAUACCUAGCAAUUUUGACGUUACCAAAAGAAGAAGCACCGGCUAACUUCAUGCAAGCAGCCGCGGUAUUAUAGAGGCUGCAAGCGUUAAUCGGAAUUACUGGGCGUAAAGCGCGCGUAGGUGGUUCAGUAAGAUGGAAGUGAAAUCCCCGGGCUUAACCUGGGAACUGCUUUCAUAACUGCUGAGCUAGAGUACGGUAGAGGGUAGUGGAAUUUCCUGUGUAGCGGUGAAAUGCGUAGAUAUAGGAAGGAACACCAGUGGCGAAGGCGACUACCUGGACUGAUACUGACACUGAGGUGCGAAAGCGUGGGGAGCAAACAGG
This 424-nucleotide ribosomal RNA is filed under the name uncultured bacterium. Its description in RNAcentral is "partial 16S ribosomal RNA". It matches the Rfam family "Bacterial small subunit ribosomal RNA", at positions 360 to 776 of the family's 1533-position model. The record is from RNAcentral.